Hibiscus syriacus is the source of this 291-nucleotide long non-coding RNA. RefSeq lists it as uncharacterized. Lineage: Eukaryota; Viridiplantae; Streptophyta; Magnoliopsida; Malvales; Malvaceae. The record is from RefSeq and is a predicted model, not a curated record. The transcript is spliced from 3 exons.
UUUUUUUUAAACCCAACAAACCUCUCAAAGCCACACUUUAUUCUCUCUUUUAUUUUCCUCUGUAAAACAAAUUCAAUAGGGCGAUCAUUCACCGUCAAAGAUCCAUUUUAAGAUCCGGAAUCCGUGCCCGUAUUUUCCCUCUUAUGAUUCCACCUCCCCUGCCUGUUCAUUCCCCGAUUUCUUGACCGGCCGGUAACUCAUUGAGUUUUAUUUUGGUUGAUUUAAAAAGCUUGAUAUCCUACUGAGGAGGAUCUGUGGAGAUUCUUGUUAUUUGCUUUUAGUCUAGUGGAA